RNAcentral lists this long non-coding RNA (927 nucleotides) under Olea europaea (common olive). RNAcentral's name for it is "long non-coding RNA (OEUR_LNC008044)". The record is from RNAcentral. Lineage: Eukaryota; Viridiplantae; Streptophyta; Magnoliopsida; Lamiales; Oleaceae.
UUAUUUCAAGAUUACAGAUCAUAAAACUUAUAAAUCACAAUUUAUCUAUCGGUCAUAUAUUUUCAAAUUUGUUGAUCACAUAUUUUUUUUAAUUACAAAUUAUCGAAUUUUAAAGUCACGAUUAAAUAGUUGGUCACAAAUAAAUUAAAUAAUUGGUCAUAUAAACCAAAUAGUGGGUCACGCACCAUCACCACCAACACUAUCACCAUAGCCACUUGUGACCACCCUUACACGUUGCUUUGCCGCCACCACAACAUCACCACCAACAAAUCACCAACACCAAAUCCAAUAUACUACCAACAAAUAUCGUGACAACCACAUUUAUCAGAUCUACUCAAAACAAUUCUGCCCAUACUAACAAACAAUUUCUGCAUUUACAACUAACGAUGAGCACUUUGGAAAGGUUGACAGACCUUUUUAUUGCCAAAUUCGUAAUGACUUCACCACUACCACCAUUUCGUCUUCCAAAAGAAUUAGACAAAGCCGAUGCAUCCAAAAUGACAACAUUUAAAUCCUCAUCAACCAUGGAAGAACUAGCGAAAGAAUCGUCAAGCAAAUCAGCUAGCGCUUACGACUUGGCUUUUUCCUUUUCGUCGGAAUUGGGGCUUUAUCAUCAUUGGUGGUCAUAGAAAUUGAAAGUGAUGAUGGCUAUCUAUGCAAAGUGAAUUUGACGGAGAUGGUGAGGAAAUGGGUUUCUGGGCAAUGAAAUUGAAAGUGUUAUCUCUCUUGUUAAACGGUUUUAGGGUUUGGGUAGUAAAUGUGGGGUGGACAGAUUUUAUAAUAAUAUUAUUAAUACAAAUAAUUAAAUUAAUACCUAAUAUUUGAACAAAUAAAUUUAAUACCUGAUUUAUGAAUUGUAAUCUUUAAAUAUCUCUUGUGAUGUAAUUUCCUCAAUUAGAAAUGUACUCAAGACUGCUAGUAGAUCAA